Hibiscus syriacus is the source of this 1332-nucleotide long non-coding RNA. RefSeq lists it as uncharacterized. The transcript has 3 exons. The record is from RefSeq and is a predicted model, not a curated record. Lineage: Eukaryota; Viridiplantae; Streptophyta; Magnoliopsida; Malvales; Malvaceae.
AGACAGAACUUAGACUAUCAAGUCUUUGUGCGGUGAAGAACAUCAGCAAGAUGAGUGAAAGUGAUGGCGACGGUGGAAUUACUCAAAGAAAGAUGCGAAAGCGUAGAGCAAUUAGUCAGGGGACUGUGAAGCGAGUGGCAGAGGAAGUGGGGAAGCCCGAAGGGGGUCAUCAAAUCAAAGCUGCAGUUGAGAAUGAGGGUGCGCAAGAAGCUCAAAGUUGGCUUUGAGAAGGUAGUAGUAUUGUUGAGAGUGUUCUGCAGUGGUUUGGGGAAGAGGGUGUGAAUGGAGGUGAAAGUUUUAAGCUUUGGGGUGUUGAAAAUGAAGAUGGGUUCGGACUCGGGAUUGGUGAUUACGGUGGAGUUGCUCCUGGGUUUGGUGAAGUGGUGUAUUUGGUGAUCUUGGUGGUGGUGGGGAAAUCAGAUGGGUGGGUCUGGUGGGGUUGCAUUUGGAAAUGGUGGAAUGGGUCUUGCAGAUGGACUAAUGGAAGACCUGUUUGAGGUUGGGUGAACCAGACAAGGGUUUGAAUGUUGGUGGCGAAGUAAGCCAGUUGUUUUCUGGUGAAGCUGAGUGUAGCAAUGUGGAUGGUAAAGGCACUUAGGGGUUUGUUGAUGAAAAUACUCGUGGAAACGAACUCGAAACUUUUCUUGUUGGUCAAGGAGGUUACAUUGAAAACGUAGGCAAGCAAAAGGGAAGAAAAGGAGAGGGGCAAGCUAAGGGCAAGCGUGGUAGGCCAAAGGGUUCUAAGAAUAAGAAGAAAACUACUGGCGGUGAACAGAGUAUUGAAGGGUUAAGUGAUAGUAGUAAGGUUAAAACGCAAGAUCCCCGUAAGGCUCAGCCUAAGCGUGGCCGGCCAAAGGGUUCAAAACAUAGAAGCAAAAAUCUUGCUGCUGGACAAGGCAAAGAAGGGUUAAGCAAAGAAGUGGAGUUGGUGCUGAUUACAAGUCUGGACAUGAGAUUGUUUGCUCCAUAGUGAAGGAAGGUCCGGCAAUGGUCUCAAAGAAGAUAAGUCUUCCAGGUGAGAAUCGAGGCAUAUCUUGUGAUAUUGAGGGGGGUACUAGUGAUGACAGCUUUCAGUUGAACAAUGGGAAUAGUGAACCAAAGGCUCUUAAGAAUCGGAAGAAAAUCAUUGCUGAAGAAAACCAAGAAAUGUCUGGUACAAUUGAGGGUGGUGAAGGCUCAGAUGGAAUUAUGAAGGGAAACUACAUUGUCCAACCAAAGAGAAAAUGGGGCCGGCCAAACGGUUCAAAGAAUAAGCAGAAAAGGACAAGUGAUGAAAAUUUUGGACUAUGUGAACAGAAAACCUUGCGAUCAAAGGAUAAGCAAUGCUUGCCU